This 717-nucleotide ribosomal RNA is filed under the name Exiguobacterium sp. Its description in RNAcentral is "bacterial SSU rRNA". It matches the Rfam family "Bacterial small subunit ribosomal RNA", at positions 55 to 745 of the family's 1533-position model. The record is from RNAcentral. Lineage: Bacteria; Bacillati; Bacillota; Bacilli; Caryophanales.
AUGCAAGUCGAGCGCAGGAAUCGACUGAACCCUUCGGGGGGAAGUCGACGGAAUGAGCGGCGGACGGGUGAGUAACACGUAAAGAACCUGCCCUCAGGUCUGGGAUAACCACGAGAAAUCGGGGCUAAUACCGGAAGGGUCAUCGGACCGCAGGGUCCGAGGAUGAAAGGCGCUUCGGCGUCGCCCGGGGAUGGCUUUGCGGUGCAUUAGCUAGUUGGUGGGGUAAUGGCCCACCAAGGCGACGAUGCAUAGCCCACCUGAGAGGGUGAUCGGCCACACUGGGACUGAGACACGGCCCAGACUCCUACGGGAGGCAGCAGUAGGGAAUCUUCCACAAUGGACGAAAGUCUGAUGGAGCAACGCCCCGUGAACGAUGAAGGCCUUCGGGUCGUAAAGUUCUGUUGUAAGGGAAGAACAAGUGCCGCAGGCAAUGGCGGCACCUUGACGGUACCUUGCGAGAAAGCCACGGCUAACUACGUGCCAGCAGCCGCGGUAAUACGUAGGUGGCAAGCGUUGUCCGGAAUUAUUGGGCGUAAAGCGCGCGCAGGCGGCCUCUUAAGUCUGAUGUGAAAGCCCCCGGCUCAACCGGGGAGGGCCAUUGGAAACUGGGAGGCUUGAGUAUAGGAGAGAAGAGUGGAAUUCCACGUGUAGCGGUGAAAUGCGUAGAGAUGUGGAGGAACACCAGUGGCGAAUGCGACUCUUUGCCCAUAAUUGAAC